AUUGAACGCUGGCGGCAGGCCUAACACAUGCAAGUCGAGCGGAUGAAGGGAGCUUGCUCCUGGAUUCAGCGGCGGACGGGUGAGUAAUGCCUAGGAAUCCGCCUGGUAGUGGGGGAUAACGUCCGGAAACGGGCGCUAAUACCGCAUACGUCCUGAGGGAGAAAGUGGGGGAUCUUCGGACCUCACGCUAUCAGAUGAGCCUAGGUCGGAUUAGCUAGUUGGUGGGGUAAAGGCCUACCAAGGCGACGAUCCGUAACUGGUCUGAGAGGAUGAUCAGUCACACUGGAACUGAGACACGGCCCAGACUCCUACGGGAGGCAGCAGUGGGGAAUAUUGGACAAUGGGCGAAAGCCUGAUCCAGCCAUGCCGCGUGUGUGAAGAAGGUCUUCGGAUUGUAAAGCACUUUAAGUUGGGAGGAAGGGCAGUAAGUUAAUACCUUGCUGUUUUGACGUUACCAACAGAAUAAGCACCGGCUAACUUCGUG
Molecule: ribosomal RNA, 484 nt
Filed under: uncultured bacterium
Lineage: Bacteria
Description: partial 16S ribosomal RNA
Rfam family: Bacterial small subunit ribosomal RNA
Source: RNAcentral